UAGCGUAUAUUAAAGUUGUUGCAGUUAAAAAGCUCGUAGUUGAACUUCGGAACCGGUCGAUUGGUCCGUCCUCUGGAUUGUGUACUGAUCGAUCUGUUCUUCUUCGCGAAGACCGCGUGUGCCCUUAACUGGGUGUGCACGGGAUUCACGACGUUUACUUUGAAAAAAUUAGAGUGUUCAAAGCAGGCAUUCGCUUGAAUAUCUCAGCAUGGAAUAAUAGAAUAGGACUUUGGUCUUAUUUUGUUGGUUUCCGAGACCGAAGUAAUGAUUAAUAGGGACAGUUGGGGGCAUUCGUAUUUCAUUGUCAGAGGUGAAAUUCUUGGAUUUAUGAAAGACGAACUUCUGCGAAAGCAUUUGCCAAGGAUGUUUUCAUUAAUCGAGAACGACAGUUGGAGGCUCGAAGACGAUCAGAUACCGUCCUAGUUCCAACCAUAAACGAUGCCGUCUGCGGAUCAGCGGUCGCUCAUUUAAGGCUCCGUUGGCACGCUAUGAGAAAUCAAAGACUUCGGGUUCCGGGGGGAGUAUGUUCGCAAGAAUGAAACUUAAAGGAAUUGACGGAAGGGCACCACCAGGAGUGGAACCUGCGGCUUAAUU
RNAcentral lists this ribosomal RNA (594 nucleotides) under marine Metazoa environmental sample. Its description in RNAcentral is "SSU rRNA". It matches the Rfam family "Eukaryotic small subunit ribosomal RNA", at positions 595 to 1195 of the family's 1831-position model. The record is from RNAcentral. Lineage: Eukaryota; Metazoa.